RNAcentral lists this ribosomal RNA (467 nucleotides) under uncultured bacterium. Its description in RNAcentral is "partial 16S ribosomal RNA". It matches the Rfam family "Bacterial small subunit ribosomal RNA", at positions 28 to 507 of the family's 1533-position model. The record is from RNAcentral.
GAUGAACGCUGGCGGCGUGCUUAACACAUGCAAGUCGAACGGAAAGGCCUCUGCUUGCAGGGGUACUCGAGUGGCGAACGGGUGAGUAACACGUGGGUGAUCUGCCCUGCACUUCGGGAUAAGCCUGGGAAACUGGGUCUAAUACCGGAUAGGACAAUGGUUUGGAUGCUGUUGUGGAAAGUUUUUCGGUGUGGGAUGAGCUCGCGGCCUAUCAGCUUGUUGGUGGGGUAAUGGUCUACCAAGGCGUCGACGGGUAGCCGGCCUGAGAGGGUGUACGGCCACAUUGGGACUGAGAUACGGCCCAGACUCCGACGGGAGGCAGCAGUGGGGAAUAUUGCACAAUGGGCGCAAGCCUGAUGCAGCGACGCCGCGUGGGGGAUGACGGCCUUCGGGUUGUAAACUCCUUUCGCUAGGGACGAAGCGUUUUUGUGACGGUACCUGGAGAAGAAGCACCGGCUAACUACGUG